GUGGGGCUGGGGCUCAGUGGUAGAGCACCUGCCUUGUACGCGUGAGGCACUGGGUUCAAUCCUCAGCACCACA
This 73-nucleotide transfer RNA is filed under the name Marmota monax (woodchuck). Its description in RNAcentral is "tRNA.Thr". It matches the Rfam family "tRNA". From Rfam's summary of the family: Transfer RNA (tRNA) molecules are approximately 80 nucleotides in length. Their secondary structure includes four short double-helical elements and three loops (D, anti-codon, and T loops). Further hydrogen bonds mediate the characteristic L-shaped molecular structure. tRNAs have two regions of fundamental functional importance: the anti-codon, which is responsible for specific mRNA codon recognition, and the 3' end, to which the tRNAs corresponding amino acid is attached (by aminoacyl-tRNA synthetases). tRNAs cope with the degeneracy of the genetic code in two manners: having more than one tRNA (with a specific anti-codon) for a particular amino acid; and 'wobble' base-pairing, i.e. permitting non-standard base-pairing at the 3rd anti-codon position. Lineage: Eukaryota; Metazoa; Chordata; Mammalia; Rodentia; Sciuridae. The record is from RNAcentral.